RNAcentral lists this ribosomal RNA (425 nucleotides) under uncultured bacterium. RNAcentral describes it as "bacterial SSU rRNA". It matches the Rfam family "Bacterial small subunit ribosomal RNA", at positions 506 to 930 of the family's 1533-position model. The record is from RNAcentral.
UGCCAGCAGCCGCGGUAAUACGGASSKUKYAAGCGUUAAUCGGAAUUACUGGGCGUAAAGCGCACGCAGGCGGUUUGUUAAGUCAGAUGUGAAAUCCCCGGGCUCAACCUGGGAACUGCAUCUGAUACUGGCAAGCUUGAGUCUCGUAGAGGGGGGUAGAAUUCCAGGUGUAGCGGUGAAAUGCGUAGAGAUCUGGAGGAAUACCGGUGGCGAAGGCGGCCCCCUGGACGAAGACUGACGCUCAGGUGCGAAAGCGUGGGGAGCAAACAGGAUUAGAUACCCUGGUAGUCCACGCCGUAAACGAUGUCGACUUGGAGGUUGUGCCCUUGAGGCGUGGCUUCCGGAGCUAACGCGUUAAGUCGACCGCCUGGGGAGUACGGCCGCAAGGUUAAAACUCAAAUGAAUUGACGGGGGCCCGCACAAGA